AGAGUUUGAUCAUGGCUCAGGAUGAACGCUAGCGGCAGGCCUAAUACAUGCAAGUCGAACGCUCAGUAGCAAUACUGGGAGUGGCGCACGGGUGCGUAACGCGUACACAAUCUACCUCUAAGCGGGGGACACCUCCUGGAAACGGGGAUUAAUACCGCAUAAUAUGCCGAAGUCGCAUGACUUUGGUAUUAAAGCAGCAAUGCACUUAGAGAUGAGUGUGCGUCCCAUUAGGUAGUUGGUGAGGUAACGGCUCACCAAGCCUAUGAUGGGUAGCCGGUCUGAGAGGAUGGUCGGCCACACGGGCACUGAGACACGGGCCCGACUCCUACGGGAGGCAGCAGUAAGGAAUAUUGGUCAAUGGUGGAACACUGAACCAGCCAUGCCGCGUGGAGGAAUAAGGUCCUACGGAUUGUAAACUCCUUUUGACGAGGAAGAAGAUGUUAGAUUUAUCUAAUUUUGACGGUACUCGUAGAAUAAGCACCGGCUAACUCCGUG
RNAcentral lists this ribosomal RNA (495 nucleotides) under uncultured bacterium. RNAcentral describes it as "bacterial SSU rRNA". It matches the Rfam family "Bacterial small subunit ribosomal RNA", at positions 8 to 507 of the family's 1533-position model. The record is from RNAcentral.